AUCCUUUUGUAGUUCAUAAGCAGUAUGAUUGGGUUUUCACACGUAUGCGUGAGAUGUGCCUCCCUCAAACCUUGUUAUGUCGGCACAUUACCUGUCUGACA
RNAcentral lists this small nucleolar RNA (101 nucleotides) under Prolemur simus (greater bamboo lemur). Its description in RNAcentral is "Small nucleolar RNA U13 (ENSPSMG00000020974.1)". It matches the Rfam family "Small nucleolar RNA U13". The record is from Rfam by way of RNAcentral. Lineage: Eukaryota; Metazoa; Chordata; Mammalia; Primates; Lemuridae.